CGGCGGACGGGUGAGUAAUGCCUAGGAAUCUGCCUGGUAGUGGGGGAUAACGUUCGGAAACGGACGCUAAUACCGCAUACGUCCUACGGGAGAAAGCAGGGGACCUUCGGGCCUUGCGCUAUCAGAUGAGCCUAGGUCGGAUUAGCUAGUUGGUGGGGUAAUGGCUCACCAAGGCGACGAUCCGUAACUGGUCUGAGAGGAUGAUCAGUCACACUGGAACUGAGACACGGUCCAGACUCCUACGGGAGGCAGCAGUGGGGAAUAUUGGACAAUGGGCGAAAGCCUGAUCCAGCCAUGCCGCGUGUGUGAAGAAGGUCUUCGGAUUGUAAAGCACUUUAAGUUGGGAGGAAGGGUUGUAGAUUAAUACUCUGCAAUUUUGACGUUACCGACAGAAUAAGCACCGGCUAACUCUGUGCCAGCAGCCGCGGUAAUACAGAGGGUGCAAGCGUUAAUCGGAAUUACUGGGCGUAAAGCGCGCGUAGGUGGUUAGUUAAGUUGGAUGUGAAAUCCCCGGGCUCAACCUGGGAACUGCAUUCAAAACUGACUGACUAGAGUAUGGUAGAGGGUGGUGGAAUUUCCUGUGUAGCGGUGAAAUGCGUAGAUAUAGGAAGGAACACCAGUGGCGAAGGCGACCACCUGGACUGAUACUGACACUGAGGUGCGAAAGCGUGGGGAGCAAACAGGAUUAGAUACCCUGGUAGUCCACGCCGUAAACGAUGUCAACUAGCCGUUGGGAGCCUUGAGCUCUUAGUGGCGCAGCUAACGCAUU
This 769-nucleotide ribosomal RNA is filed under the name Pseudomonas sp. RNAcentral describes it as "bacterial SSU rRNA". It matches the Rfam family "Bacterial small subunit ribosomal RNA", at positions 96 to 861 of the family's 1533-position model. The record is from RNAcentral. Lineage: Bacteria; Pseudomonadati; Pseudomonadota; Gammaproteobacteria; Pseudomonadales; Pseudomonadaceae.